RNAcentral lists this ribosomal RNA (484 nucleotides) under uncultured bacterium. RNAcentral describes it as "partial 16S ribosomal RNA". It matches the Rfam family "Bacterial small subunit ribosomal RNA", at positions 30 to 507 of the family's 1533-position model. The record is from RNAcentral.
AUUGAACGCUGGCGGCAGGCCUAACACAUGCAAGUCGAGCGGAUGAAGGGAGCUUGCUCCUGGAUUCAACGGCGGACGGGUGAGUAAUGCCUAGGAAUCUGCCUGGUAGUGGGGGAUAACGUCCGGAAACGGGCGCUAAUACCGCAUACGUCCUGAGGGUGAAAGUGGGGGAUCUUCGGACCUCACGCUAUCAGAUGAGCCUAGGUCGGAUUAGCUAGUUGGUGGGGUAAAGGCCUACCAAGGCGACGAUCCGUAACUGGUCUGAGAGGAUGAUCAGUCACACUGGAACUGAGACACGGUCCAGACUCCUACGGGAGGCAGCAGUGGGGAAUAUUGGACAAUGGGCGAAAGCCUGAUCCAGCCAUGCCGCGUGUGUGAAGAAGGUCUUCGGAUUGUAAAGCACUUUAAGUUGGGAGGAAGGGCAGUAAGUUAAUACCUUGCUGUUUUGACGUUACCAACAGAAUAAGCACCGGCUAACUUCGUG